Molecule: transfer RNA, 75 nt
Filed under: Mycobacterium phage PegLeg
Lineage: Duplodnaviria; Heunggongvirae; Uroviricota; Caudoviricetes; Vilmaviridae
Also listed under: 6 other names
Description: tRNA-Glu
Rfam family: tRNA
About the family: Transfer RNA (tRNA) molecules are approximately 80 nucleotides in length. Their secondary structure includes four short double-helical elements and three loops (D, anti-codon, and T loops). Further hydrogen bonds mediate the characteristic L-shaped molecular structure. tRNAs have two regions of fundamental functional importance: the anti-codon, which is responsible for specific mRNA codon recognition, and the 3' end, to which the tRNAs corresponding amino acid is attached (by aminoacyl-tRNA synthetases). tRNAs cope with the degeneracy of the genetic code in two manners: having more than one tRNA (with a specific anti-codon) for a particular amino acid; and 'wobble' base-pairing, i.e. permitting non-standard base-pairing at the 3rd anti-codon position.
Source: RNAcentral
GUUCCCGUGGAGUAAUUGGUUAUCUCGCCUGACUCUCAAUCAGGAGAUUGCGCGUUCAAGUCGCGUCGGGAAUAC